GCCUGUAGCUAUACUACUGCAAGCUGUGAUCUUGUCUGAUCUCACGUAAGCUAAGCAGAGUUGGUUCUUGUUAGUACUUGAGUAAAAAUUCCAAAGAAAAAUACAACUGUUC
This 112-nucleotide ribosomal RNA is filed under the name Gopherus agassizii (Agassiz's desert tortoise). Lineage: Eukaryota; Metazoa; Chordata; Testudines; Testudinidae. The record is from RNAcentral.